UACAGAGGGUGCGAGCGUUAAUCGGAAUUACUGGGCGUAAAGCGUGCGUAGACGGUUAUGUAAGUCGGAUGUGAAAGCCCCGGGCUCAACCUGGGAAUUGCAUUCGAGACUGCAUAGCUAGGAUGCGGAAGAGGGAAGUGGAAUUUCCGGUGUAGCGGUGAAAUGCGUAGAUAUCGGAAGUAACAUCAGUGGCGAAAGCGACUUCCUGGUCCAGCAUCGACGUUCAGGCACGAAAGCGUGGGGAGCAAACAGG
Molecule: ribosomal RNA, 253 nt
Filed under: uncultured bacterium
Lineage: Bacteria
Description: partial 16S ribosomal RNA
Rfam family: Bacterial small subunit ribosomal RNA
Source: RNAcentral